CUUAGAUCCGCCUGUCAGAUAAAUUAGAUCACGAAGCAUGUGAUCACAAAAUGACAACUUACACCAGAAAAACACGUGCAGUGAAUGACUCAGAUGUGCGCACUUGUUCUGUGCAAAUAUGAAUAUAGGUAUUUGGAAAUACAUUUUACGUAUGACAAAAUACCAAACAAUCUAAUUACAAUUAAAUAUUACAUCUAUUGACAUAUAUGUACUUGUAUAUCUGAUGUAUGGCGGGUAUGCGAACGGAUCUAACAUAUCUAAUUCUACAUGUGUGAGCGGAUCUAACAUAUCUAAUUCUACAGGUUCGACAGUAGAGCAGUGAAAACUUCUACGUCUAUCAGAAUUUUUAGUUGGAUGAUUUGUGCAGACCCAGACUUCCACAUGAAAUUCAAAGCGUUGGUUAAUGCAUGCUCAACCAUCCACUAGCCAUGCACGGUAUUUGAGAUACCAUAACACUGAUUUUAAGAUAACUACAGAAACGGAUUAUCACAAUGGAAUAUUAAAGAAAGAAAGAAAAUAUGCACUCUUGGCAAAGUUAUAAAAAUUCAAACCUUUGUGAACAAUCUCUUAUCUUCGACCUUCAUCGUAAAACUUCCAACAUCUGGUGGAGAUACACAUGCAGCAUCACUCACAAAGCUUCUGGUGCGCAGACGACCGAAAGAUGAAAUGUAUAUCCAGAAAUUUUUAGUGCAAAUAAUUUUAUCUGCCAACGUGUGCCAGCGAGCGAGGAAGUGGCCGCCAGUUUACUGAAAUGUCUCUAGGGGUGUUUGUGUAGAUGCUUCAAGUUUGAGAAUGUUUUGUUUUCAUCGUGAUAUAUAUAUACAGCUUGAUGUUGCUGAUGCUGAGCUAUUUUUAGAACUUGAUAGGACCCCCAUUGUGUUAUUGUUAUGCAAAAACAGUGGAUCGUACACCACAUUAACAAAAUGUUUUCAAGUGUAAGAUUUUGAAGAAAGACAGCAACAUUUUGCACCUAUAUGAUGCUAUUAUUUUGACGUGAAAUUUAUGUAGAAUACGUUUAUAUAAAUAUUAUACACUGGU
This is a long non-coding RNA of Ostrea edulis (European flat oyster), 1038 nucleotides long. RefSeq lists it as uncharacterized. The transcript is spliced from 2 exons. NCBI's taxonomy places the organism in Eukaryota, Metazoa, Mollusca, Bivalvia, Ostreida, Ostreidae. The record is from RefSeq and is a predicted model, not a curated record.